UUUCUUUCUGUCAGCACAACAGCUACUAAGUUUUGUAUUGCAUUGAAACUAUCACAAGAGACAAUGUUUUCUUACUGUUUGCAGAUAUUCAAGGAUUUAACAUUAUGGAAAUGUUCAGCAGAUGAUCUUUUGUAAGUGAAAAGAAUAAAUUUUUAUAAGAGCAAUCAAUGUGGGACCAAUACAAGGUGUGUGAUUUAUCCAUGUUCCAACCUUUUCUGCUGACAAAGAUGGUUCAGAACAAUGUAGCCGUCAUCUGUUUGACAGAUAAGCUGGAUUAUCUCUAGAUCAGCUGGCUCAAACUAAAUUUGUUGUGUCAUCCCUACUAGUGUAGAGUUUCUAUUGGACCGAAGAUUACUAGUGUCCACAAGCAUAACCAGUCAAUCCUAAGAAAUCUUAGUUCUAUAGAGGAGAAACAACUAAAUUAUAAGUAUUCUUUUUGAAAUCAAUGUAUAUCUCUUAUUUAAAAUUAUCUAGCUCUGCUUCUCUAUAUUUCCCUUCACCUUUUCUGGUGCUAAUGUGCUUUUAUUGCAGGAUUUAGAGGACAAAACUAAUUAUAUGGACAGAUUAUAACAGGUUUUAUAUCGGAAAUAAUCUUGAAACGUGCAAGGGAAAUCUUUACAUUUUUCUAGAAGCCAUAUCCAUAAAAGCUGCGAAAGCCGUCAAGCUGAUGUACCAAACUAGCUAUAGAAUUUUUAGAUAGAUUUUGACAUAGAAUUUCCAUUUUAUUUUCAAAUUGGUUUUAAC
This 744-nucleotide long non-coding RNA is filed under the name Triticum aestivum (bread wheat). Its description in RNAcentral is "long non-coding RNA (TAES_LNC000655)". Lineage: Eukaryota; Viridiplantae; Streptophyta; Magnoliopsida; Poales; Poaceae. The record is from RNAcentral.